This 253-nucleotide ribosomal RNA is filed under the name uncultured bacterium. Its description in RNAcentral is "partial 16S ribosomal RNA". It matches the Rfam family "Bacterial small subunit ribosomal RNA", at positions 524 to 776 of the family's 1533-position model. The record is from RNAcentral.
GACGAACCGUGCGAACGUUGUUCGGAAUCACUGGGCUUAAAGGGCGCGUAGGCGGGUCCGCAAGUCCGGGGUGAAAGCCCCCAGCUCAACUGGGGAAGUGCCUCGGAUACUGCGGGUCUAGAGCGAGGUAGGGGCAUGUGGAACUUCGGGUGGAGCGGUGAAAUGCGUUGAUAUCCGAAGGAACGCCGGUGGCGAAAGCGACAUGCUGGACCUCUUCUGACGCUGAGGCGCGAAAGCCAGGGGAGCAAACGGG